Molecule: ribosomal RNA, 465 nt
Filed under: uncultured bacterium
Lineage: Bacteria
Description: partial 16S ribosomal RNA
Rfam family: Bacterial small subunit ribosomal RNA
Source: RNAcentral
GACGAACGCUGGCGGCGUGCUUAACACAUGCAAGUCGAACGGAAGGGCCCUGCUUUCAGGGUACUCGAGUGACGAACGGAUGGGUAAGUCGUGCGUGAACUACCCUCCACUUCGGCUGAGGCUUCGUAAACUAAGCGUAAUACCUGAUAGGACCUCACUUGAGCGGCAGGGGUGAAAAGUUUUUCCGGUGUAUGAUGAGCUCGCGGCCUAUCAGCUCGUUGGUGUGGUAAUGUCCUACCAAGGCGGCUAGGGGUAGCAGGCCUGAGUGGGUGUACGGCCACACUGGGACUGAGAUACGGCCCAGACUCCUACGGGAGGCAGAAGGGGGGAAGCUUGCACAAUGGGCGCAAGCCUGAUGCAGCGACGCCGCGUGGCGGAUGAAGGCCUUCGGGUUGUAAACUCCUUUCGUUAGGGACGAAGCUUUUUGUGACGGUACCUAGAUAAGAAGCCCCGGCUAACUACGUG